GGAGGAGUGGCAGAGUGGUCGAAUGCACCGGUCUUGAAAACCGGCGUGCGUGGAAGCGUACCGUGGGUUCGAAUCCCACCUCCUCCGCCA
Molecule: transfer RNA, 90 nt
Filed under: Boseongicola sp.
Lineage: Bacteria; Pseudomonadati; Pseudomonadota; Alphaproteobacteria; Rhodobacterales; Paracoccaceae
Also listed under: 3 other names
Description: tRNA-Ser
Rfam family: tRNA
About the family: Transfer RNA (tRNA) molecules are approximately 80 nucleotides in length.
Source: RNAcentral